RNAcentral lists this unclassified non-coding RNA (112 nucleotides) under Chryseobacterium sp. RU37D. RNAcentral describes it as "Flavo-1 RNA". Lineage: Bacteria; Pseudomonadati; Bacteroidota; Flavobacteriia; Flavobacteriales; Weeksellaceae. The record is from RNAcentral.
CCCUAGCCCCGAUUGAAGUAUUUGUUUGAGCUCAUUUUAUUUUAUUGGUAGCGGCGGCUCCGCCGCCGCUACCAAUAAAAUAAAAUAGCGAGUACGGAAAGCGGGAAAUAGC